This 744-nucleotide ribosomal RNA is filed under the name uncultured bacterium. Its description in RNAcentral is "bacterial SSU rRNA". It matches the Rfam family "Bacterial small subunit ribosomal RNA", at positions 8 to 796 of the family's 1533-position model. The record is from RNAcentral.
AGAGUUUGAUCCUGGCUCAGAGCGAACGCUGGCGGCAGGCUUAACACAUGCAAGUCGAGCGGGCGUAGCAAUACGUCAGCGGCAGACGGGUGAGUAACGCGUGGGAACGUACCUUUUGGUUCGGAACAACACAGGGAAACUUGUGCUAAUACCGGAUAAGCCCUUACGGGGAAAGAUUUAUCGCCGAAAGAUCGGCCCGCGUCUGAUUAGCUAGUUGGUAGGGUAACGGCCUACCAAGGCGACGAUCAGUAGCUGGUCUGAGAGGAUGAUCAGCCACAUUGGGACUGAGACACGGCCCAAACUCCUACGGGAGGCAGCAGUGGGGAAUAUUGGACAAUGGGCGCAAGCCUGAUCCAGCCAUGCCGCGUGAGUGAUGAAGGCCCUAGGGUUGUAAAGCUCUUUUGUGCGGGAAGAUAAUGACGGUACCGCAAGAAUAAGCCCCGGCUAACUUCGUGCCAGCAGCCGCGGUAAUACGAAGGGGGCUAGCGUUGCUCGGAAUCACUGGGCGUAAAGGGUGCGUAGGCGGGUCUUUAAGUCAGGGGUGAAAUCCUGGAGCUCAACUCCAGAACUGCCUUUGAUACUGAAGAUCUUGAGUUCGGGAGAGGUGAGUGGAACUGCGAGUGUAGAGGUGAAAUUCGUAGAUAUUCGCAAGAACACCAGUGGCGAAGGCGGCUCACUGGCCCGAUACUGACGCUGAGGCACGAAAGCGUGGGGAGCAAACAGGAUUAGAUACCCUGGUAGUCC